AGUAAUGGCGGCUGUGCGUGGGACGCCCUCGGGCGUGCCGGUUCCCUGGUUCCCGGUUUUCCAACCUGCGUACAGCUGCCACCCAU
RNAcentral lists this non-coding RNA (86 nucleotides) under Pseudomonas migulae. Lineage: Bacteria; Pseudomonadati; Pseudomonadota; Gammaproteobacteria; Pseudomonadales; Pseudomonadaceae. The record is from RNAcentral.